ACGGGAGGCAGCAGUGGGGGAUAUUGCACAAUGGGGGAAACCCUGAUGCAGCGACGCCGCGUGAGUGAAGAAGUAUUUCGGUAUGUAAAGCUCUAUCAGCAGGAAAGAUAAUGACGGUACCUGACUAAGAAGCACCGGCUAAAUACGUGCCAGCAGCCGCGGUAAUACGUAUGGUGCAAGCGUUAUCCGGAUUUACUGGGUGUAAAGGGAGCGCAGGCGGUACGGCAAGUCUGAUGUGAAAGCCCGGGGCUCAACCCCGGUACUGCAUUGGAAACUGUCGAACUAGAGUGUCGGAGGGGUAAGCGGAAUUCCUAGUGUAGCGGUGAAAUGCGUAGAUAUUAGGAGGAACACCAGUGGCGAAGGCGGCUUACUGGACGAUAACUGACGCUGGGGCUCGAAAGCGUGGGGAGCAAACAGGAUUAGAUACCCUGGUA
This 434-nucleotide ribosomal RNA is filed under the name uncultured Roseburia sp. RNAcentral describes it as "partial 16S ribosomal RNA". It matches the Rfam family "Bacterial small subunit ribosomal RNA", at positions 341 to 792 of the family's 1533-position model. Lineage: Bacteria; Bacillati; Bacillota; Clostridia; Lachnospirales; Lachnospiraceae. The record is from RNAcentral.